CAAAAAUUCAGGCAUGUUUGGGACAUCGUAAGGACCUCCAGCGAGAAAUUUUAGCAAAUUUUCACGUGGGAUUCGUUAAUUGCGAAUAUUUUAAGCGUCAUUAGCCGAAGAAACGAAAAAGCAAACCCCCGUUUGGCUCCCGAAUUGCAAAAUGCCACCUUGCCUUGGCUUGGCAUGGGCAGGGGAAGGUCUAGUCCAGGCCGCGAAAAAAAAAUCCAAACCGGUAUGACCUUAAUAAUACGGGUGCGCAGGCGCGCGCGAGGAAUUUCCGCCCCUCGACGUAGUUUGGCCCGAGCACGUGCUCCCCGCGAGAUUUGGCCUACCCAAAAUUUCGACAACGCGGGCGCGCGCUGGAGAUUUUUGCCUCCGAUCCCCUCCCGACGUGAUUNNNNNNNNNNNNNNNNNNNNNNNNNNNNNNNNNNNNNNNNNNNNNNNNNNNNNNNNNNNNNNNNNNNNNNNNNNNNNNNNNNNNNNNNNNNNNNNNNNNNGGGGAAUGGUGGGAGAGAGCCAGGGGGCAAGGGGAGGGAAGACACGAGUAAGGAGGUGCGUCGACGAGGGGGAAGAUGUUGGGGCGCAGAGAGAGGGGGGGCGGAAAAACCCAAGGGGGCAGGCGAUAAUUAAAGGCGACGCAUUAAGUGAGAAGGGACGUAGAUGGGGAAAGCGAAGGUCAUGUCAAGCACCGCGUCCGAGAAAAUCGAUGAAUACAUGCGCACCGCGAGAAGACACCACAUAGGAGAUGUAAGCGGAGCAUAGGUAUAAAUUCAGAAGCCACCGCAACACCAAGCAAUGGUGCGGGAUGGUUCAAAGUCUAACAAGCCACCAGUGUACCAAUUUAUGGGUAAACCAAACAGGAACAACGGACAAACAUCGAAGACACAAAGUCAACAAUGAAAAAUGAUCAGGAUCAUAUGCAAACCGUUCAAAGCCAAAGCAUUGAGCCAGCAAACACAAACAUCCACGCUACCACUCACAUGCCCUCGCGUCUGCAAAAACCAACAUCGCGGAACACAUCCCACACCCCACAAUGCCGAGGCAUGCAGGCAUAUGGAAGCAUCCAACAACGCCGACUCCGCUUCGCUAAGCAUGAAAAUUAAGGAGACGCACAAGUUUUUCCGAGAAGGGACCAACACGGCUAUGUUUAUUGACCUGCACUGCAACUCAACAUAAACACAGCAAAGAUUAAGAGGACGUGAGUCAACCCAAAUUCAAUGCCACGAGAGAGUUUUGUAUGCAAGUGCUAGUCGCCCCGCACCGUUACAAGGGCACAAUUUUUUCCGAGGAGGGACCAACACGGCUAUGUUUAUUGACCUGCACUGCGUAAGCAAAUGCUAGUCGCCCCGCAGCGUUACAAGGGCACAAGUUUUUCCGAGAAGGGACGUGCACGGGUUUCUUACUAGCUACGCUAGCCGCCCCACCGUACAUGGGCGGCGUGAGAAAGAGGCAGAAAUUUUGCUUUACCGUGACCAAGACAGUGUUUGGCCAAGACGAGGCAUGAACAAACGUUGAACUGCAUGUUUGGCCUGUGCCUGCCCAAGUCACGAACGGCAAGACGACCCCCUCUUUCCCACGCUGGUGGCUGGGCCUUCCGACGGGACGUGGAAAAUAUGAAUCAAUCCUACUCUUCCAUGACAACGACAAAGUUUGGCCAAGACGAGGCAUGAACAAAUGUUGAACUGCAUGUUUGGCCUGUGCUUGCCCAAAGUCAAGAACAGCAAGAUUUCCCCCUAUUUCCCACCAAAUCUGCCCCAAAUUCAUCAAAAUGAUCCGAAUUUAUCAAAAUCUUUUGAUGAAAGCAGCUCAAAUUGAUGAAUUUGGGGCAGAUUUGGGGGGAGCAGCUUGUUUUUUGGUGGCUGGGGGCUGCCUGGGCGCGCCCCAUACAGUCCCCCAGCCAUGCCCAGCCAUGCCCCAACAAGGUGCUCCCCCUAUAUAUGCUUGAUGUGCCAUUUCCAAUUUUGUAGAAAAAAGGGUGAAUUUUCCCUGCAGGCAUAAAGUCCCGAAAAAGUGACUUAGAGGUUGAAUUUGUCCGCGAUUUUUUUGCAGGCAUGUUAGGGACAUAAAAACAACAUCUCCCACAAAAAAAUUAGAAUUUUCCGACGAGGGACGGAUUAAAUAUGAAUUUUUUACGCGCCAAAAAGUAAAGAAAGCGUGACAUCAAAACAUCGACCUAGAAAUCGAAUUUUGAGCUGAUUUUUUGCAGGCACCUCAAUAAAAAUACAUCUAGAGGAUCUGCAAAGUUGCGUAGAAAACCGACAACGUUUCGAUUUAUUUUGAUUUUUCGACCGAAACGCGCAUAAUCGCAACUUUUUUUUUCAAAUGAGCACCCAUCCACGGGACGAAUCUUGUCCCCCAAAAAUUGUAAGGACCUCCAGCGAGAAAUUUUGGCAAAUUUGCACGCGGGAUUCGUUAAUUGCGAAUAUUUUAAGCGUCAUUAGCCGAAGAAACGAAAAAGCAAACCCUCGUUUGGCUCCCGAAUUGCAAAAUGCCACCUUGCCUUGGCUUGGCUUGGCAUGGGCAGGGGAAGGUGUAGUCCAGGCCGCGAAAAAAAAAUCCAAACCGGUAUGACCUUAAUAAUACGGGUGCGCAGGCGCGCGCGAGGAAUUUCCGCCCCCCGACGUGGUUUGGCCCGAGCACGUGCUCCCCGCGAGAUUUGGCCUACCACAAAAAUUUCGACAACGCGGGCGCGCGCUGGAGAUUUUUGCCUACGAAUCCCCUCCCGACGUGAUUUGGCCCGUGCCUCGUGGAGAUUUUUGCCCACGAAUCCCCUCCCGACGUGAUUUGGCCUGUGGCUGCCCAGGCCAAGAACGGCAAGAUUUCCCCCACUUUCCCACCAAAUCUCCCCCAAAUUCAUCAAAAGAUCCCAAUUUAUCAAAAAAAUUUGAUGAAAAUGGGGCAGAUUUGGGGGGAGCAGCCUGUUGGGGAGUGCCUGGGGGCGCCCCAGCCAUGCCCCAGCAAGGUGCUCCCCCUAUAUAUGCUUGAUGUGCCAUUUCCAGUUUUGUAGAAAAAUGGGUGAAUUUUCCCUGCAGGCAUAAAGUCCCGAAAAAGUGACCUAGAGGUUGAAUUUUUUCACGAUUUUUUCCAGGCAUGUUAGGGGCAUAAAAACAACAUCUCACACAAAAAAUUAGAAUUUUCCGACGAGGGACGGAUUAAAUAUGAAUUUUUUACGCGUCGAAAACUCAAGAAACCGAAGAAUCAAAACAUCGACCUAGAAAUCGAACUUUGAGCUGGUUUUUUGCAGGCACCUCAAUAAAAAUACAUCUAGAGGAUCUGCAAAGUUUCGUAUAAAACCGACAACGUUUCGAUUUAUUUUGAAUUUUCGACCGAAACGCUCAAAAUCGCAACUUUUUUUUCAAAUGAGCACCCAUCCACGGGACGAAUCUUGUUCCCCGAAAAUUCAGGCAUGUUUGGGACAUCGUAAGGACCUUCUCCGAGAAAUUUUGGCAAUUUUGCACGCGGGAAUCGUUAACUGCGAAUAUCUUAAGCGCCAGAAAGUCAAGAAAGCGUGACAUCAAAACAUCCACCUAGAAAUCGAAUUUUGAGCUGGUUUUAUGCAGGCAUCUCUAUAAAAAUAAAACUCGAGGAUCUGCCAAGUUUCGUAGCAUUACGGCAACGCCUCGAUUUAUUUACAUUUUUCGACGACACGCGCAAAACCUCAAUUUUCCCCAAGUGCGCGUCCACCCACGGGUCAAAUUUUGAUCCCCAAAUAUUCGGGCAUGUUUAGGACAUCAUGACGACCCCCGCCGCAAAAUUUUGGGGUUUUUAGACUUGGCACGGAUUAAAUGUAAGUUCUCCGCGCGCCUCGAUUUAUUUUGAUUUUUCGACCAAAGAGUGCAAAAUCGCAAGAACGUAG
Molecule: long non-coding RNA, 3847 nt
Filed under: Medicago truncatula (barrel medic)
Lineage: Eukaryota; Viridiplantae; Streptophyta; Magnoliopsida; Fabales; Fabaceae
Description: long non-coding RNA (MTRU_LNC007426)
Source: RNAcentral